CCUACGGGUGGCAGCAGUGGGGAAUAUUGGACAAUGGGGGCAACCCUGAUCCAGCCAUGCCGCGUGUGUGAAGAAGGCCCUCGGGUUGUAAAGCACUUUCAGUGAGGAAGAACGCCUGGUGGUUAAUACCCAUCAGGAAAGACAUCACUCACAGAAGAAGCACCGGCUAACUCCGUGCCAGCAGCCGCGGUAAUACGGAGGGUGCGAGCGUUAAUCGGAAUUACUGGGCGUAAAGCGCGCGUAGGUGGCUUGAUAAGCCGGGUGUGAAAGCCCCGGGCUCAACCUGGGAACGGCAUCCGGAACUGUCAAGCUAGAGUGCAGGAGAGGAAGGUAGAAUUCCCGGUGUCGCGGUGAAAUGCGUAGAGAUCGGGAGGAAUACCAGUGGCGAAGGCGGCCUUCUGGACUGACACUGACACUGAGGUGCGAAAGCGUGGGUAGCAAACAGGAUUAGAUACCCUAGUAGUC
This 465-nucleotide ribosomal RNA is filed under the name Vreelandella stevensii. RNAcentral's name for it is "partial 16S ribosomal RNA". It matches the Rfam family "Bacterial small subunit ribosomal RNA", at positions 338 to 795 of the family's 1533-position model. Lineage: Bacteria; Pseudomonadati; Pseudomonadota; Gammaproteobacteria; Oceanospirillales; Halomonadaceae. The record is from RNAcentral.